This 229-nucleotide ribosomal RNA is filed under the name uncultured bacterium. Its description in RNAcentral is "partial 16S ribosomal RNA". It matches the Rfam family "Bacterial small subunit ribosomal RNA", at positions 568 to 796 of the family's 1533-position model. The record is from RNAcentral.
UACGUAGGCGGAAGAUGAAGUCAGUGGUGAAAUCCCGCAGCUCAACUGUGGAACUGUCAUUGAUACUGGUUUUCUUGAAUUUAGUUGAGGUAGGCGGAAUGUGUAAUGUAGCGGUGAAAUGCUUAGAUAUUACACAGAACACCGAUUGCGAAGGCAGCUUACUACACUACGAUUGACGCUGAGGUACGAAAGCGUGGGGAGCGAACAGGAUUAGAUACCCUGGUAGUCC